GGGGGAGAGACUGCUGGAGGCUCCCAGGGAGGAGAUUCAGGCUGCCUGGAUGUCAGCCCAGCAGGGUGGACGGGAGACAAAACCCAGGCUGACCAUUGACUUAAGAUUACUGGCCUCCAGUUGCUCUACCAGGGGCUUCUGCAAAGAAAUGGGACCCAGCUGGAGUUCAGCGUUUAGUGGCUGAGGUGAUGUUGCCCUGGGAUUCAAGGAGACCCAUCUUCCUCCUGCAAUGCACCAACAACAGUUCGAGUACGGCGCUCACAUCCUCCUGCCCCCUUGGGGGUUGCUGUGGGAACACCCUGAAAUGCGGAUCCUGGAUGCCAUUUUUGGGAAAAAGGCUGAGGAUCAUUCGGAAGGAACCUGACAAUCAAACUGCAGGUCGCUUGUCUCUCUGGCCUCCUUCCCAGUGGGAGAGAUCGAGCAGAGCCCCAGGCAGAAAAGGCUGCAGUGAGGGAGGGUUUUAAAGGCCUCCGUAAGAGGCAAGAGCUUCUGGGUGCUCUGGAAGGUGUGGUGGGGGGAGCCACAACCUUGGUUCAUGAUGCCUCCCCACCACUGCCUGGCCUCCUCCUGUGAGCCCCGCUCCCCCUGCCUCACCUCCUUUCUCCUUCGGGACCGUCAGUAGCGGCUUCUCAGUACAGCCGAGCCCACGGCCCACGUUUCCCCUUCCAUGAAAGGCCUCGUCCGGCCAGGGAGGUUCCAGGCCCGGUUCCACAUGAUGUCACAGAACUCCAUCCCACAGGACCCAGUGAUGUCACACAGCAGAAGGCAGCCUGCUGCACAGAGCAGGUCGGAGGCCACGGGGGCUGCUGCUCUUCCUCCUGAGCGAGUUCAGGCCGUGUUGCUGUGAGGACCUCAGAGAAGGGGCCUGGGGUCUGUUUAUGGGUGAAGCACCCCCCUAAGGAGAAGGGAACCACUGUGGGCAGACCCUCCCCAUAAGGUGUCUUUCUGUUGUCCGGCCUGCGGAGUCCCCUUGCUGAUCUGCUCUGCCUUGAAGGGCACAGAGGUUGCUGCUGCUGCCGCC
This 1021-nucleotide long non-coding RNA is filed under the name Naja naja (Indian cobra). RNAcentral describes it as "lncRNA (ENSNNAG00000009507.1)". The record is from RNAcentral. Lineage: Eukaryota; Metazoa; Chordata; Lepidosauria; Squamata; Elapidae.